ACUAGGAUUAGAUACCCUAUUAUUAAAAUUUAAAAUUAUAAUACUAAAAUAGUAGAUAAUUAUUUAUUAAAACUUAAAUAAUUUGGCGGUAUUUUAGUUUAUUUAGAGGAAUCUGUUUAAUAAUUGAUAUUCCACGAAUAAAUUUACUUAAUUUAUUAUUUUGUAUAUCGUUGUUAUAAAAAUAUUUUUUAAUAAAAUUAAUAUU
RNAcentral lists this ribosomal RNA (205 nucleotides) under Acrapex parvaclara. RNAcentral describes it as "partial 12S ribosomal RNA". The record is from RNAcentral. Lineage: Eukaryota; Metazoa; Arthropoda; Insecta; Lepidoptera; Noctuidae.